This is a long non-coding RNA of Fukomys damarensis (Damara mole-rat), 157 nucleotides long. RefSeq lists it as uncharacterized. NCBI's taxonomy places the organism in Eukaryota, Metazoa, Chordata, Mammalia, Rodentia, Bathyergidae. The record is from RefSeq and is a predicted model, not a curated record. The transcript is spliced from 3 exons.
CUGUUCUUCCCUUUUUCUGUUUAUACAUUUGCCUGACUAGACUGUGUUGGCAUUUAGCAGAAAGACAUAAAAAUGGUCUCAUGUCAGUAGGAAGCCUAGCAUCAAACCCACCAUAAAUAUUCAGGAGUUCCUGUCAAAGGAAAAGAAGAAAUGUGGA